RNAcentral lists this transfer RNA (72 nucleotides) under Flammeovirgaceae bacterium. RNAcentral's name for it is "tRNA-Glu". It matches the Rfam family "tRNA". From Rfam's summary of the family: Transfer RNA (tRNA) molecules are approximately 80 nucleotides in length. The record is from RNAcentral. RNAcentral also lists the same sequence under 2 other names. Lineage: Bacteria; Pseudomonadati; Bacteroidota; Cytophagia; Cytophagales; Flammeovirgaceae.
GGUCCGUUCGUCUAGGGGUUAGGACACCAGAUUUUCAUUCUGGCAACACGGGUUCGAUUCCCGUACGGACUA